This 603-nucleotide long non-coding RNA is filed under the name Capsicum annuum. RNAcentral's name for it is "long non-coding RNA (CANN_LNC016242)". Lineage: Eukaryota; Viridiplantae; Streptophyta; Magnoliopsida; Solanales; Solanaceae. The record is from RNAcentral.
AGCAGGUCCAGAAGGAGGAUUCGGGCUUCCAACCCGAGACACUGGUCCAGGAGGUGGGAUGUUCGGGCUUCCAACCAUAGACGCAGGUCCAGGAGGUGGGGGAUAUAGGCUUCCAACCCCAGAAGCAGGUCCAGGAGGAGCAUUCAGGCUUCCAACCCCAGACACUGGUCCAGGAGAUGGGACGUUCGGGCUUCCAACCGUAGACGUAGGUCCAGGAGGUGGGGGAUAUAGACUUCCAACCCCAGAAGCAGGUUCAGGAGGAGGGGGAUAUAGGUUUCCAACCCCAGACACUGGUCCAAGAGGUGGGGGAUAUAGGCUUCCAACCCCAGAAGCAGGUCCACGAGGAGGGGGAUAUAGGUUUCCAACCCCAGACACUGGUCUAGGAGGUGGGACAUUUGGGCUUCCAACCCUAGACGCAGGUCCAGGAGGUGGGACAUUUGGGCUUCCAACCCUAGACGCAGGUCCAGGAGGUGGGACAUUUGGGCUUCCAACCCUAGACGCAGGUCCAGGAGGUGGGACAUUUGGGCUUCCAACCCUAGACGCAGGUCCAGGAGGUGGGGCAUUUGGGCUUCCAACCCCAGAUGCAGGUGUAGAAGGUGGGGG